Molecule: long non-coding RNA, 779 nt
Organism: Psammomys obesus (fat sand rat)
Lineage: Eukaryota; Metazoa; Chordata; Mammalia; Rodentia; Muridae
Exons: 3
Source: RefSeq, a predicted model, not a curated record
CGUGCUGAUUGACUGUGCGCCGCUGAAAAGAAUUAACCAAAGGUGGUCCUUGUGUCUGGACUCCUCUCUGCAGAAGAAGGGCUGAAGAACCCAGACCCUCAGAUACCCUCAGCUUCUGGGUGUCCCAAGGAUGUUCCUCAGCCUAGGGAGCCCAGAACUGAUGCUGACUGGCCUGAGUCUCCAGGAGGAACAAGACCAUCUGGGAGAUGGCACACCCAGAGGCCCACAGCCUCGUUGCUGCCUAGAAAAGAUGUGGAAAGGAAGCCUGGUUCAGAGUGAAACGGAAGUGCCUGAGGUCUGACAGUUGCUCUCUCAAGCCUGUGCAGCCAGGAGGGAAGUAAAACUGCCCGGCAUCUGCACUUUGGCCCUGAAAGUUCAUGGGACAGCAACAGGCCACCCCCUCACAAGCCACUUCUGGGAGGAGUUACUGAAGGUCACAGGCCCUGUGCAACAGACAAGGAAAGAAGGUCACGUAGGUGUAAAGGACCUGCCUGUGUAGGUGGGCCCCAGGCACACCCUCCUUUCAGCCUGGUGGACUGGGCCUCUGUCUCUGUGACCAUGUUUACCAGCCCGCCUACUCCACCCUUGGUCAACCUCUAAGUCUUCAGGCCUUCAAAUCUAUCCAUCCAGCAUGCCUUCUAGGUUCAUUGCCCUUGUUUUUAUGGAUAGAGUCUAACUAGGCCUUACGGAGGCCUCUGGGCUUGGGGAGUGGGGAGGCCCUGAGAGAGACAGCCAGUGCCUGUGCCCAUGACAUAGUGAAAUAAACACCUAAAGAAUCA